This 454-nucleotide ribosomal RNA is filed under the name uncultured bacterium. Its description in RNAcentral is "bacterial SSU rRNA". It matches the Rfam family "Bacterial small subunit ribosomal RNA", at positions 340 to 786 of the family's 1533-position model. The record is from RNAcentral.
UACGGAAGGCAGCAGUGGGGAAUAUUGCACAAUGGGCGCAAGCCUGAUGCAGCCAUGCCGCGUGUAUGAAAAAGGCCUUCGGGUUGUAAAGUAUUUUCAGUCGUGAGGAAGGUGUUAAGGUUAAUAACCUUAGCAAUUGACGUUAGCGACAGAAGAAGCACCGGCUAACUCCGUGCCAGCAGCCGCGGUAAUACGGAGGGUGCGAGCGUUAAUCGGAAUUACUGGGCGUAAAGGGCACGCAGGCGGUUAAUUAAGUUGGAUGUGAAAUCCCCGGGCUUAACCUGGGAAUGGCAUUCAAGACUGGUUAGCUAGAGUCUUGUAGAGGGGGUAGAAUUCCAUGUGUAGCGGUGAAAUGCGUAGAGAUGUGGAGGAAUACCGGUGGCGAAGGCGGCCCCUGGACAAAGACUGACGCUCAUGUGCGAAAGCGUGGGGAGCAAACGAGGGAUUAGAUACC